AUUGAACGCUGGCGGCAGGCCUAACACAUGCAAGUCGAGCGGAUGAGUGGAGCUUGCUCCAUGAUUCAGCGGCGGACGGGUGAGUAAUGCCUAGGAAUCUGCCUGGUAGUGGGGGACAACGUUUCGAAAGGAACGCUAAUACCGCAUACGUCCUACGGGAGAAAGCAGGGGACCUUCGGGCCUUGCGCUAUCAGAUGAGCCUAGGUCGGAUUAGCUAGUAGGUGAGGUAAUGGCUCACCUAGGCGACGAUCCGUAACUGGUCUGAGAGGAUGAUCAGUCACACUGGAACUGAGACACGGUCCAGACUCCUACGGGAGGCAGACAGUGGGGAAUAUUGGACAAUGGGCGAAAGCCUGAUCCAGCCAUGCCGCGUGUGUGAAGAAGGUCUUCGGAUUGUAAAGCACUUAAGUUGGGAGGAAGGGCAGUAAGUUAAUACCUUGCUGUUUUGACGUUACCAACAGAAUAAGCACCGGCUAACUUCGUG
This 484-nucleotide ribosomal RNA is filed under the name uncultured bacterium. RNAcentral describes it as "bacterial SSU rRNA". It matches the Rfam family "Bacterial small subunit ribosomal RNA", at positions 30 to 507 of the family's 1533-position model. The record is from RNAcentral.